GAUGAAACGCUGGCGGCGUGCUUAACACAUGCAAGUCGAACGAAGAUGCCGGAGUGCUUGCACUUUGGCAGACUGAGUGGCGGACGGGUGAGUAACGCGUGGGUAACCUGCCUUAUACAGGGGGAUAACAGUUGGAAACGACUGCUAAUACCGCAUGUCGUCUUUUGAGGGCAUCCUCGAAAGAAAAAAGGAUUUAUUCGGUAUAAGAUGGACCCGCGUCUGAUUAGCUAGUUGGUGAGAUAACAGCCCACCAAGGCAACGAUCAGUAGCCGACCUGAGAGGGUGAUCGGCCACAUUGGGACUGAGACACGGCCCAAACUCCUACGGGAGGCAGCAGUGGGGAAUAUUGCACAAUGGAGGAAACUCUGAUGCAGCAACGCCGCGUGAAGGAAGAAGGUUUUCGGAUCGUAAACUUCUAUCAAUAGGGACGAAACAAAUGACGGUACCUAAAUAAGAAGCCCCGGCUAACUACGUG
Molecule: ribosomal RNA, 475 nt
Filed under: uncultured bacterium
Lineage: Bacteria
Description: bacterial SSU rRNA
Rfam family: Bacterial small subunit ribosomal RNA
Source: RNAcentral